ACUACAGACUCUUGUGACCUAUAAAAUACUAUCAACUAGAUUUCGAAGAAGCUAGCUAGAUGUCCGACUCGAAUCAACUGAUCGGAACAAUGUUUACGUUCAGUGAUUUUCGAUUAAGAAAAACAAAUAAACAAAACCCUUAUGACUCUUAGUCUGCAACUACUGAAAUAAGCUCCAGUCAAACUUCAGAGGCGGAUUCGUUGGAAUGGGAUAUCCUUUUAUUUUAAAAUUGUAUGUACGAGUGUGCUGAAUAAAUGAGAUUGAUUUCACA
Long non-coding RNA from Leptinotarsa decemlineata (Colorado potato beetle), 271 nucleotides. RefSeq lists it as uncharacterized. Lineage: Eukaryota; Metazoa; Arthropoda; Insecta; Coleoptera; Chrysomelidae. The record is from RefSeq and is a predicted model, not a curated record.